RNAcentral lists this ribosomal RNA (1382 nucleotides) under Enterococcus durans. RNAcentral describes it as "bacterial SSU rRNA". It matches the Rfam family "Bacterial small subunit ribosomal RNA", at positions 73 to 1426 of the family's 1533-position model. Lineage: Bacteria; Bacillati; Bacillota; Bacilli; Lactobacillales; Enterococcaceae. The record is from RNAcentral.
CCGGAGCUUGCUCCACCGGAAAAAGAAGAGUGGCGAACGGGUGAGUAACACGUGGGUAACCUGCCCAUCAGAAGGGGAUAACACUUGGAAACAGGUGCUAAUACCGUAUAACAAUCGAAACCGCAUGGUUUUGAUUUGAAAGGCGCUUUCGGGUGUCGCUGAUGGAUGGACCCGCGGUGCAUUAGCUAGUUGGUGAGGUAACGGCUCACCAAGGCCACGAUGCAUAGCCGACCUGAGAGGGUGAUCGGCCACCAUUGGAGACUGAGACACGGCCCCAAACUCCUACGGGGAGGCACCAGUAGGGAAUCUUCGGCAAUGGACGAAAGUCUGACCGAGCAACGCCGCGUGAGUGAAGAAGGUUUUCGGAUCGUAAAACUCUGUUGUUAGAGAAGAACAAGGAUGAGAGUAACUGUUCAUCCCUUGACGGUAUCUAACCAGAAAGCCACGGCUAACUACGUGCCAGCAGCCGCGGUAAUACGUAGGUGGCAAGCGUUGUCCGGAUUUAUUGGGCGUAAAGCGAGCGCAGGCGGUUUCUUAAGUCUGAUGUGAAAGCCCCCGGCUCAACCGGGGAGGGUCAUUGGAAACUGGGAGACUUGAGUGCAGAAGAGGAGAGUGGAAUUCCAUGUGUAGCGGUGAAAUGCGUAGAUAUAUGGAGGAACACCAGUGGCGAAGGCGGCUCUCUGGUCUGUAACUGACGCUGAGGCUCGAAAGCGUGGGGAGCAAACAGGAUUAGAUACCCUGGUAGUCCACGCCGUAAACGAUGAGUGCUAAGUGUUGGAGGGUUUCCGCCCUUCAGUGCUGCAGCUAACGCAUUAAGCACUCCGCCUGGGGAGUACGACCGCAAGGUUGAAACUCAAAGGAAUUGACGGGGGCCCGCACAAGCGGUGGAGCAUGUGGUUUAAUUCGAAGCAACGCGAAGAACCUUACCAGGUCUUGACAUCCUUUGACCACUCUAGAGAUAGAGCUUCCCCUUCGGGGGCAAAGUGACAGGUGGUGCAUGGUUGUCGUCACCUCGUGUCGUGAAAAUGUUGGGUUAAGUCCCGCAACGAGCGCAACCCUUAUUGGUAGUUGCCAUCAUUUAAGUUGGGCACUCUAGCAAAACUGGCCGGUGACAAAACCGAAGGAAAGGUGGGGAUGACGUCAAAUCAUCAUGCCCCUUAUGACCUGGGCUACACACGUGCUACAAUGGGAAGUACAACGAGUCGCGAAGUCGCGAGGCUAAGCUAAUCUCUUAAAGCUUCUCUCAGUUCGGAUUGUAGGCUGCAACUCGCCUACAUGAAGCCGGAAUCGCUAGUAAUCGCGGAUCAGCACGCCGCGGUGAAUACGUUCCCGGGCCUUGUACACACCGCCCGUCACACCACGAGAGUUUGUAACACCCGAUG